Molecule: ribosomal RNA, 508 nt
Filed under: uncultured microorganism
Description: bacterial SSU rRNA
Rfam family: Bacterial small subunit ribosomal RNA
Source: RNAcentral
GAGUUUGAUCGUGGCUCAGGAUGAACGCUGGCGGCGUGCCUAAUACAUGCAAGUCGAGCGAACGGACGAGAAGCUUGCUUCUCUGAUGUUAGCGGCGGACGGGUGAGUAACACGUGGAUAACCUACCUAUAAGACUGGGAUAACUUCGGGAAACCCGGAGCUAAUACCGGAUAAUAUUUUGAACCGCAUGGUUCAAAAGUAAAGACGGUCUUGCUGUCACUUAUAGAUGGAUCCGCGCUGCAUUAGCUAGUUGGUAAGGUAACGGCUUACCAAGGCAACGAUGCAUAGCCGACCUGAGAGGGUGAUCGGCCACACUGGAACUGAGACACGGUCCAGACUCCUACGGGAGGCAGCAGUAGGGAAUCUUCCGCAAUGGGCGAAAGCCCUGACGGAGCAACGCCGCGUGAGUGAUGAAGGUCUUCGGAUCGUAAAACUCUGUUAUUAGGGAAGAACAUAUGUGUAAGUAACUGUGCACAUCUUGACGGUACCUAAUCAGAAAGCCACGGCU